Pongo pygmaeus (Bornean orangutan) is the source of this 2607-nucleotide long non-coding RNA. RefSeq lists it as uncharacterized. The record is from RefSeq and is a predicted model, not a curated record. The transcript has 3 exons. NCBI's taxonomy places the organism in Eukaryota, Metazoa, Chordata, Mammalia, Primates, Hominidae.
UCAAUAGGAAAAGAGGGAAUCCUCCCUAACUUAUUUUAUGAGGCCAGCAUCAUCCUGAUACCAAAGCCUGGCAGAGAUACAACAAAUAAAGAGAAUUGUAGACCAAUAUCCCUGAUGAACAUUGAUGCAAAAAUCCUCAAUAAAAUACUGGCAUUAUACAUAUACACACACACACACACACACACACACACACACAUACAUAUAUAUAUAUACUGGCACUAUACAUAUAUACACAUAUAUAUACACACAUAUAUAGAAUAUAUGUAUAUGUGUAUAUAUAUACAUAUAUUAGAAUCAAAGGUAAUAAUGUAUAUGAAAAUUCUUGGCAAAAUAAGCAGUGCUAUAUAAAUAUUAAGGAUUAUUGUUAUUACUUAGAAUGAUUACUUAGUGCCAAAUAUGUUUUAGGUUUGGUGUCAAAUUACUUAUAUUCAUAAUCACCAAACUUCACAAUGCGUAUUAUUAUCCCAUUUUUAUUACUGAGUAUGCUCUGUUGAAAAAAUGAAGUUAAUUGCUUAAUAAAACAUAGAGCAAAUGUCUGGUGUUCCCAGGACAUAAAUCCAAGUCUGCUGAUUUCAAGGCUUAUCUGUUUCCUGCUACUUUUUUUUUGCCUGUCAUUAUAAAUCCCACACAGAUAAAUCUCUAUUGAUGCCAAUUUAUAUUAAGAGAUAAAAUGUGAAGAAAGUAAAAUGUAUAAAAGGAGACCUGAUAUGUAUGGUUUACCUCUAUAUUCCUAAGGCCUAGGGCAUUGCUUGACAGUAGGCACUCUAUAGUUGUUGAAUGAAUGUAAUAUUAAAUAGAGUAAAGUCAUACCGAAAUCCAUUAUCCAGAAACUUUUUAUUAUUAAGCGACUGAAAUCUACCAGAAAACCAAAGAUUGUGCUAAGUUGUAAUAAAUUUGAAAUCUGGAUAUUGUACUUCAUCCACCUAUUGUAGCUUCCCAGAAGGACAUUUGCAGGCAAAUAGAUAUGGCAUACUAGAUCCAUGGCACCAUUUAAUUUCUUCAAUUUAAAAAUGCCAGUGUUGACUAAUUUCGUGGAUUCAGGUGGCAAAGUAAUAUUCCUCUCACCUCCUAUCCUAUCCUGCUGCUUUCUCAGGCAUGGUACAGAUCAAAAGAAGAAAAUGGUUUGCUUAGGUGUUUUCUUUCCCUGUUGCUCCAGACACAUAAUGGCCAGCGAAAUGGAUCUGAAAUUGGAAGAUGUGUAGAGGUCGGGGGAAGUAUACCUAUUUAUUAACCCCAGUUUGUGUUCAUUAUCACUGAAGCUAAAAUGGAAAGCUCUUCUUGGAAGGUCAGAAAAUCAAAGCAAGGAAUCCCUUUCCUACCCACUCACAGAAAGCUGACAAUUUAAGAGUCCAGGUUUAUAAUUUGUCCUAUAUGUUGGUUUUUAGAACUUAACAACAACAACAAGGAAAAUCCCACUGUUACUGCCAGCUGACAUGGACUCUAUCUGUGUCUUUCUGAACAACCAGUCUCUCAAAUGUCAGUGACAAUUGAUACCUCCAUCAUAAACUUCCACUUCUUUAUCUUAAAAGCAAGUAAUUAAAAGCAGGCUGAUGAUUCCACCUCUAAAUUCCCUGGCCUGUCACAGGUGAAGUCAGCGUCGCCAGCCACCCUUCUCUUAUGCCUCUCCCCUCUACCCUGCUUCCUCACUUAGCCUCCUGGCCUAGCAGACGUUCUGAUUUUCCAGAGUGUUACUAUGUGCCUUUCAGAAUCAUUUGAUUAAUUUUUUGACAUUAGUCUACCAUCUACAGUGUGAACAACCCAUAGUAUACCUGGAGAAGAAUGUAGAAGAGAAAUUAAAUUGACAGAAGAUUCUCAUGAGGCUCUUUGGAGGAUACUGGUGAAGAUCACAGACUCUGGAACCAGAGUGCCUGGAUUUAAUGUCUGUUUCUAUUGCUUAAUGACUGUGUGACCUUGGAAAAAUCACUUGACCUCUCUGUGCUUCACUUCCUAUAUCUCUAAAAUGGAGAUUGUCAUCUGCUUUACUUUAAUGAAUCAAUAAACAGAUGUAAGGUACUUAGACUACUGCUUGGCACAUGGAUUUAGAAUGCUGACCUGCUUAUUUUCAUAUGGAAGACAAUAAGCUGAUUUCCUGUAGAUUGAGCUAACGGCCAUCUGUUAUGAUGGGACAAUGCUAAUUCAAAAAGUGUCAUUUGCCACUUUAUCUGAUGUCAGGAGGCAACACAUGAAAUCUGAGGACCUUUAAUAACUCACGACACCUUGCGUGUAAGAUCCCUGGGAAAGGCAACCCCAAAUUAGAAACACGUUUCACUGGAAGGGCACUCACUUACUGAUACCUUAGGGACUCCACUUUGAGGGAUGCCUUUAUCAUUCAUACCUUUCCAUGGCAUGAAUGGAAACCUGCUGCAAUGCUGCUUCUGUCCUAAUGCAUUUCAUGAGUCAGCACAUGACAAAGGGAAGGGACACCCAGGUCAGCCCCAUCAUUGUAUCUGAAACCAACACUUCGAACAUAAUUGGAAUGAUUACAUACUAUUCUACAUGUUGAGUGAUUAGCACAGCAACUGGUGCCCAGUUGGUUGCUAUUAUUUUUGUUGUUGUUGAUAUUAUGAUUAUGCUUAUUUUGUAUUAUUUAUUAAAUGAAUAUUCUUA